GACGAACGCUGGCGGCGUGCCUAAUACAUGCAAGUAGAACGCUGAAGGAGGAGCUUGCUUCUCUGGAUGAGUUGCGAACGGGUGAGUAACGCGUAGGUAACCUGCCUGGUAGCGGGGGAUAACUAUUGGAAACGAUAGCUAAUACCGCAUAAUAGUAGAUGUUGCAUGACAUUUGCUUAAAAGGUGCAAUUGCAUCACUACCAGAUGGACCUGCGUUGUAUUAGCUAGUUGGUGAGGUAACGGCUCACCAAGGCGACGAUACAUAGCCGACCUGAGAGGGUGAUCGGCCACACUGGGACUGAGACACGGCCCAGACUCCUACGGGAGGCAGCAGUAGGGAAUCUUCGGCAAUGGACGGAAGUCUGACCGAGCAACGCCGCGUGAGUGAAGAAGGUUUUCGGAUCGUAAAGCUUCUGUUGUAAGAGAAGGACGAGUGUUAAAGUGGAAAGUUCACACUGUGACGGUAUCUUACCAGAAAGGACGG
Molecule: ribosomal RNA, 484 nt
Filed under: Streptococcus mitis
Lineage: Bacteria; Bacillati; Bacillota; Bacilli; Lactobacillales; Streptococcaceae
Description: bacterial SSU rRNA
Rfam family: Bacterial small subunit ribosomal RNA
Source: RNAcentral